UACGAGAGGCCCAAACGUCAUUCGGAUUUACUGGGCUUAAAGAGUUCGUAGGCGGCGCGGAAAGUAGGGUGUGAAAGCCCUCGGCUCAACCGAGGAAUUGCGCUCUAAACUACCGUGCUUGAGGAAGCUAGAGGUGAGCGGAACUGAUGGUGGAGCGGUGAAAUGCGUUGAUAUCAUCAGGAACACCGGAGGCGAAGGCGGCUCACUGGGGCUUUUCUGACGCUGAGGAACGAAAGCCAGGGGAGCGAACGGG
RNAcentral lists this ribosomal RNA (253 nucleotides) under uncultured bacterium. Its description in RNAcentral is "partial 16S ribosomal RNA". It matches the Rfam family "Bacterial small subunit ribosomal RNA", at positions 524 to 776 of the family's 1533-position model. The record is from RNAcentral.